Molecule: ribosomal RNA, 468 nt
Filed under: uncultured bacterium
Lineage: Bacteria
Description: partial 16S ribosomal RNA
Rfam family: Bacterial small subunit ribosomal RNA
Source: RNAcentral
GACGAACGCUGGCGGCGUGCUUAACACAUGCAAGUCGAACGGAAAGGUCCUGCUUUUGUGGGGUGCUCGAGUGGCGAACGGGUGAGUAACACGUGAGUAACCUGCCCUUGACUUUGGGAUAACUUCAGGAAACUGGGGCUAAUACCGGAUAGGAGCUCCUGCUGCAUGGUGGGGGUUGGAAAGUUUCGGCGGUUGGGGAUGGACUCGCGGCUUAUCAGCUUGUUGGUGGGGUAGUGGCUUACCAAGGCUUUGACGGGUAGCCGGCCUGAGAGGGUGACCGGCCACAUUGGGACUGAGAUACGGCCCAGACUCCUACGGGAGGCAGCAGUGGGGAAUAUUGCACAAUGGGCGGAAGCCUGAUGCAGCAACGCCGCGUGCGGGAUGACGGCCUUCAGGUUGUAAACCGCUUUCGCCUGUGACGAAGCGUGAGUGACGGUAAUGGGUAAAGAAGCACCGGCUAACUACGUG